Molecule: long non-coding RNA, 5133 nt
Organism: Oenanthe melanoleuca
Lineage: Eukaryota; Metazoa; Chordata; Aves; Passeriformes; Muscicapidae
Exons: 4
Source: RefSeq, a predicted model, not a curated record
GGGAAUGGAAAUGAGUGAACUUCUAAGGUUUCAAAAAAAGCCUCCUCAGCGUGGGGAGCCUGCAACUGCAUCUCUUUGUUGUGCAAGCUGGUGCUGCGUGGGUCAGCUGUGGACAAAUGUGCUCUGACUUGCACUGGGAGCCAGCCCUCAGCCUGGAGCACCUGCUGUUGGGCUGAGGGGAGGCAGAGUAGGGGCUGCACUACUUUGGAAAGUUGAUUUUUGUGUUUAGGAGACAGCUCUGGAGAUGCCACUGCUGUUAUGGGCAGCAAAAGCAGGUACUUCCUUCACCAGUUUACAGCAUAAGGGAGAUUUUUUUUUUUUCCUUUAUUAAGACCACAAUAAAAACUCCACAUUACAAUCCUGAAUUGAAUGUAGCCUAUUCCCUCAGUCCUGCUCUUGCAGCCUUACAGGUGCAGGCCAAAUGGAGUUAAAAGUCAGACACUGUGUCUGAAACCCCCCAAGGCAGGCUGACCACUGGGACAGGAUGGGGUAAAAGCCUGUGGAGCUUUGUGUCCCUUUUGUGAGCAAUGGGACAGUCAGGUCUGCUUGAUUUGAGUCACUGACUUCAAUUCCUGUGAAGGGGAACGUGCCAGGGCACUCUGCAGUGUCUGUUUUAGCAUGGUGGCCAUUAGAGGUGUGCUUUGAUACUAGUGCUGUGGUUCCCCAUCCUGUGAUCCCCCCUGCUCAGCUGAAAUAGCUUUGGCUUGCCUGGAGCCACCCAGUUUUCCUGCAGCUUUGCUCUCAGAGGGUUCCUGGGCAGACCCCCAGCCUGUCUGGAGGAGCUGCUGAAGCCCUGGAUCCUGUGGAAGACUCCAGAGCUCACAGGGAGCAGGGAGGUGAAACUGGGCAAACACAGAGGGGAAGAAAAGCACUGCACUUACAUGGCUGAGGUCAGGGAAGGGCAGCAGGAAUAAAAACUCAUCAAAUUUAGUCCUACACAACCUGAGUGAGCAGCACAUUGCAAAACUCACUCCACUCAAACAAAUGAUCCACCUAAGCAGCUGCAACCAGAAAGGCCAUUUUCUAUUCCUAACUGCUGUACCUAAGCAUCACUUUAGAAUGUAAAGUACUGAUUGCAGGGCUUGAAAGCUCUCACAGGGAGAUGAUUGUUGUGAUUUGUACAGUCAGUUCAGGAACACGGUGUUCCCCCAACACCACUGCUCCAGCUCCUCCAGGUAAUGGCAAGAGAAGCCAUAUUUUUCUUUUGUGUCAUUCAAGAGACAAAAGAAUGUCCUGUGCCAGGGAGGAACAUAAGGAAACAAACCCAGCCAGAUGUUCACUGAAGUAUAACCUGCCUUCAAACCAGACAAGCCUUUAGUUUAACUCUACCUGCAAAACAGCUAGAGAAGAGCACUGACCAGACACUCCUGGCUGACUCCCCCAAGCCCACGAGCUGCUGGUCUGUCCCUGUUCCCAGGGUUUCCAUCAUUCCAUCCCUGAAAUACCAGGAGCCACUGGCAGUGUUUAAGAAGCAUUUGAGCUGGAUAUCCAAAUGCAAAGCUAGUGGCUGCUGAUGGACUCCUGAGCACUGUGAGUGUUUGUGGGGGGAGCUGAAGAGCUUCACUCAGAAAUAGCUCUUCCUUGGAAAGCUGGAGGGCUGAAUCACAGUGUGUUGGCUCAGGUUUUAGCAGACGAGCCAUCACAUCUGCCUCCCUGUAGGCGAGGAGUCGUCACUGGCAGCAGGAUUGGCAGCCAGGCUCUGUCCUUUGGAGAGCAGAUAACCAUGGGGAAGGUGCAGGCUCAGGUGAGCAGGGUCAGGCUGGGGCUUGGUGAGGUGGGCUGGCAGCUCUGGAGCAGGAGGGCUCUGCUUGGCCUGCCCUGCUCCCCCUGUCCCUCUCUGUCCACAGAACAUGCCCCCAAGUUGAACUUUGGGGACUAAAUAAUAAUUUUGCUCAGAGGCAUUAACCACUCCUCUGCUGCCUGGGAGGCUGAGACAAGCAGAGCCAGCCCUGAGCAAAUCCAGGGCUGGUGCUGUCAUGAGACAACUGAAAAUACAAAUGAGAUGGGCAAGUAGGAGCACCAGGGAAAAAUGGGGAAACCUGGGAGGGGACAAGACAGCUCCUGAGCUGAGAUACCUGAAACUGAAAGCACCUGAGAGACACCCCUGGCUUGGCAGGCUCUGGGGAGCCUGCAGAGUCCACCUGAGCUACAGAAAUGCAAAUUUACACAGAGGUUUUCUUCCUAGAACAGACUGUGAGUCCUUAAAUACAUGUCACUCCUGGUUCCCAGCAGUCCAGAGGAAGUCAUGGGGGAAAAGGGAUGAGGGAACUAAUAGAAAGUUUUUGGAGCUAGCAAAAAAACAAAUUGCUGAUAUGGAUUUUAAAAUCUUUCAGAGACAUGGAAUUUUUGGAGCUACAGUUUUGGACUCAGUACCCCCCUAUGCUGCUGUAAUGUUAAUUUUCAAGCCUCCAGUCCAGGUUCAGGUAUGGGCACAGUUGCAAGAGAAGUAGAUGGGGAGUUCCUGAACCAACUGGUUGCUGCCAUGAGUCAGGGGAAUGACCUUGCAGCAGGCGGCUCGCGGUGCCGCUCUCGGAGCCGUGCCAGGAUAAACGGCACUGGCAUCUCUGAGUGCUGGUGGAACCAUUUUGUGACAUUCCAGCUUGGCCUUUUCCACUGCUGCCUUUGCACCCAAAUUGUCUGGGUGGGUGGGAAUGGGAUAAUUCCCUUUUUUCCUCACAGCCUGGGCUUGGGACUGUCUAUAUACAGAGAUAGAGAGGUUAUGGGCAACUCCUCUGUCUAGCUACAUGCUUGUCCAUUAACAUCAGCAUUACAGAUAUUUAACCAAAUUAAAUCUUACUCUCCCCCCCCAGCCAUACCCCUAUUAAACUGUAAGAAAACACCAUGAUAAAGUUUUGACAAUCCUACGCAGCAGCACUGAAUUUUCUGGAUAGGUCUGGGAGAGAUUUGUCAGAGGAGAGAGGGUAGAACACUUGGCAUUUAGACAUUUUAAUGAAUGUUCCCAAAUAAGAAAAGAAAAACAUUUGCUUGUAGACUUUAAGCUUCUCACAGCAUCAGAAAGCUCCUGACACAGAGCCCAGUGCUGUAUUUGUAUAACAUGGAAAUGAACAGCAGCAGUGCUGCAGGCUCCGAGCCUGCUCUGCGAGCAGCAGAAUGGCCAGGGGUGCUGGGCUCACCCCAAUUCCUUCACUUUUGGGGGGGGUCUGAUACCCCUGACCCUUCAGGUGGGCUUUGAACUCUAACACCAGCACGAAAUGAAUGUUUCUAACCAUAUUCAAGCUUGUUCCCCCAUCAGCUCCACUCCCUAAAGCACUGACGGGAACCAACAGCAAAAUUCGUCUGCGUCACAGAUGUAACAUGACCAUCGGCAAAACAAGUGCAGGAGGAGAUCAUGGCUGGCUGUCCCUCACAGAGCCUUCCCUCACUAGCAGACAAGGAGAGGUAAUGCUUUUAAAUUUCUAUCAUGGGCUUGUGAAAUGCUGUCCUUCCCUCCCCGAACCCCGCGGUCCCCGAGCGGCCGCAGCGCCCGAGCAAACUGCGUGUGCUUUGUCGGCGUGGGACCGAACGCUGCGUCACGCUGCUGCACCAAGGCCCAGGCAGAGCAAACCCCACUCCCCAGAGCAGGGAAACCCAGAGAGAGGAAAAUGAAUCAGCUGUCACACACACAAGUGUCAGAGGGAGGGAGAAAUCACAGCUUUCCCCAGUCCUUUUGUGGCACUGUGCAGAGAGCGAUCACGGAGCAGUUACCCAGGUACAGCUCAUGGUGACAGUGCCACCCCUGUGCACACAGUCACUGCUGUCCUACAGAAAUAUGCCAUGUCCCCUUCUUAGCCUUGUUUCCUGCCAGUCCAACAGAUUUACCUGCUGACAGUAACCUCAAUUCCUGAGUAAUGAGAUUUACAGCUGAAGUUUAACAUUGAAAUAACUCCUCUUUUAUCCGUCUCCUUACCCUCCCUGCUUUAGGCACAGUUAAACCAUCGCUGGGGCCAAAACAUGGUGGCAAAAGGAUUUAAACCAAAUACACUGAACACACUCAGCAGCCAGUGGCACCUCCUUGAAAGCCAUGAAACAGCACUAGCUUUACAAAGCAAGGGCUCCUCCACCCCACAGCCAUGAUGGGGAGAACCACAAAGAGCUGUCCACGCAACCAACGCUCAGGAAAACAGACACAGCCCACCCAUCAUCCACACAACCCAGCAUCACAACAGUGCCUUAGUCCAGCUCCUGGCCGUGCAGAACCCCUCCCCAGCUGUCUGGGGCUGUUCUCCUGUGUGCCAGUGUGUGUGUGUAUUUAUGCCUGUGUGUCUGGCUGCAGGGACCCCCGUUGUGGCUGCUGUUGCUGUUGUUGCCCUGCUCUGCGGAUCUGGCGCUGCGGGAGGCAAGGAGGCUCCGAGGGAGCUACAGCCAGCGAAGGCUCGGUGCAAUCCCUGCCCCAAGCUGCCACAGUGCUGCCAACACUCCAGCACUUCACAAGGGAGAAGGAAGCAAGGAGAAAAGCCCUGAACCCCAGUACUUUCCCCUGCACCGUGAGCUGCAGCUCUGACACGUCAUCAUCACGACUGGACGGCGAAAUGAGGCCUGGGAGCACCCAUGGGUGAAGGGCUGCACCCAGCACACCGAGCAGGGACCAGCUCCUGUCCUGCCUGCUGCCCAGGGACACUGGCACCCCGGGAUCCCAGCGUCUGAAGAGCCUGAGCUAUUUUGGGAUUUGUCUGUACUACACUGAAAAUGACACCUGUUACGCACAGACACAAAUGAGAAAAAUUACAAGCGCCCGGUUCCUCUGCCAGGAUCCUGCAGAAACGGGGGUUCCCGGCUGCAGGAGGCGCUGAAUGGAGCGGGGCUCGGUGCCCGGGUGGGCGCAGCGGGGCCGGGGGCGCUCGGUGCCCGUCCUUGCACUGCCCGGGGGCUCGGAGGGCGGCAGUGACAGUGACAGCGGCAGUGACAGCGGCAGUGACAGUGACAGCAGUGUCCCCUCCUGCUGCGGCUCCGGCUCAGCCCCGCCGCCUGUGCCAAUCUGCUCUGCCGCUGACCCCGAGCCCUGGCACCUCCUCCUGCCCGGCCCAUGCCAAGCUCUGCCAGAAAUCCCGGCUGCUUUCAUUUCCUCCCGGACAGACCCGCACUCAUCAGCAGCCUUGCAAAAUGUUCAGUGUGAAAUAAACUGGUUUAAACCUC